CUCAGUCCUCUCACCCUGUCUUCACUGCUGCUCCGUGGAGGAAUCACCGGGACGAGUCUCUCCAUGGCUGCUGGGAUCAGCUGAGGGUCCAGUAGAAGAGGAGGGAGCUUCCACAGUGCUGAGUAAAAAAAACCUGGUGGAAGCAUGAAACAUGAGUCCAGAAAGAACUGAGUCAGUUUCAGGGCGGAGCCGGACAAAGGGGCGGAUCCAGGAAUUCCAAAAUACAAGAGACAAACUUCAUAAUAGAAACACUCCACAGAUCAAGAAUUAUUGGGCUGAAACUUCAAUGACUGUAUGAAAGUAAGUUUCCCUGUGACUGAGCUGGUUGAGAUCCAGUCGAGCGUCGUGCCGCAGAGCAGAGAGAUGCACGGAACAGCAAGAGGCCUGAGUCCUGAGCGUUAGUGAGGGGGCCGAGGUGAACGGUGCAAACACCUGUCACAAUAAAACACACACAGGCUCAGAGACGUGGAACCUGCAGGACAUCCCUUUUAAUAAAAGCACUAAAUAUUGUUAUAAAUACUGAUAUUGACUGAGGUGGGGAAGGUUCAUCUUGUUGCAUGUAAAUCAACAUCAUUUAAAAAGUCACUCAACUCAAACCUGGAAGUAUCAACCUGCAGUAUCUACAUCACAGCAUAAAACACUAACAUGUCUAUAACAGCCGGCUCAUUAAGCUAAACGUACGAUAUCUAUAUGAAGAUAUACCAUCUUAUGAUUAUUAUUAUUACUUAAACAUUGCAGCAGUAACCUGACGUACAGCUCCCCCUUCUGGUACUCUGGGCAAAACGCUUUUUACAACACAUUGUUUCAUAUACAAUCAUUCAUAUCAUAUCAUCAUACAUUACAUUUCCUUACAUUUCAUUGAGCUGACGCUUUUAUCCAAAGCGACUUACAAUAAGUGCAUCAACCAUGAGGAACAAACCCAGAACAAGAAGAAUCAAGAAAGUACAAUUUUCUUACAAAUAACACGUCACCAUUGUAAUGUAUAAGAAUAACAGCUGGAUCAGAAGAACAUGAAGAUACAGUAUAAAAUAUUCCAGCUUUUGGACGACAAACUUCAAGAAUCAAUAAAAUGGCUGAAAACUGGUUAAAUCCAGUCCACACGAUAAAAGUGACUUUUUAUAUCAAACUUUACAGACUGUCGGGCCUUGGCAGUGGUUUAAACUAAAUCACAGUUUCCUCUGGGAAUGUUCCCACCUUUGUUUCUUUUCUAUCUAAUGAGAAUCACAUUAUUACGAGUGACUUUGUUUUCACAGCAGAAAGUUGUAACAAAUGAUUCCUAAUAUAAAUAUAUCGAUGUCAAAUGUAA
This is a long non-coding RNA of Hippoglossus stenolepis (Pacific halibut), 1306 nucleotides long. RefSeq lists it as uncharacterized. The record is from RefSeq and is a predicted model, not a curated record. NCBI's taxonomy places the organism in Eukaryota, Metazoa, Chordata, Actinopteri, Pleuronectiformes, Pleuronectidae. The transcript has 3 exons.